This 253-nucleotide ribosomal RNA is filed under the name uncultured bacterium. RNAcentral's name for it is "partial 16S ribosomal RNA". It matches the Rfam family "Bacterial small subunit ribosomal RNA", at positions 524 to 776 of the family's 1533-position model. The record is from RNAcentral.
CACGUAGGGCGCGAGCGUUGUCCGGAAUUAUUGGGCGUAAAGAGCUCGUAGGCGGCCUGUUGCGUCCGCUGUGAAAGCCCGGGGCUUAACCCCGGGUCGGCAGUGGAUACGGGCAGGCUAGAGGUAGGUAGGGGAGAAUGGAAUUCCCGGUGUAGCGGUGAAAUGCGCAGAUAUCGGGAGGAACACCGGUGGCGAAGGCGGUUCUCUGGGUCUUACCUGACGCUGAGGAGCGAAAGCGUGGGGAGCGAACAGG